GCCCACGUGGCGGAAUUGGCAGACGCGCUAGGUUCAGGUCCUAGUGACUGUAACGGUCAUGGGGGUUCAAGUCCCUCCGUGGGCA
This 85-nucleotide transfer RNA is filed under the name Planctomycetota bacterium. RNAcentral describes it as "Planctomycetes bacterium (activated sludge metagenome) tRNA-Leu". It matches the Rfam family "tRNA". Rfam says of the family: Transfer RNA (tRNA) molecules are approximately 80 nucleotides in length. Their secondary structure includes four short double-helical elements and three loops (D, anti-codon, and T loops). Further hydrogen bonds mediate the characteristic L-shaped molecular structure. tRNAs have two regions of fundamental functional importance: the anti-codon, which is responsible for specific mRNA codon recognition, and the 3' end, to which the tRNAs corresponding amino acid is attached (by aminoacyl-tRNA synthetases). tRNAs cope with the degeneracy of the genetic code in two manners: having more than one tRNA (with a specific anti-codon) for a particular amino acid; and 'wobble' base-pairing, i.e. permitting non-standard base-pairing at the 3rd anti-codon position. The record is from RNAcentral. Lineage: Bacteria; Pseudomonadati; Planctomycetota.